Molecule: ribosomal RNA, 264 nt
Filed under: Triticum aestivum (bread wheat)
Lineage: Eukaryota; Viridiplantae; Streptophyta; Magnoliopsida; Poales; Poaceae
Description: partial small subunit ribosomal RNA
Source: RNAcentral
AUGAUCAGCAUCCUCGCGCAGGAGCGCCUCCUCGGGUUCGCCCUGGGCUCCGUCUCCAUGGGUGGUUUCGUCCUCCACCAGCGCCGCGCCAUCUACCGCUCCCUUGCCGACGCCGACGCGGCCUCUGGGGGCGCAUCCUUCUCCUAUCAGACAAGCGAGACCACCGGUAGAGGAGUUUCAGCUGAGAUGGCUCACGUAUGGAACAAGGCAGUGGACGAGACACUUGGCCGGCUUGUUGUGUAUCUUAGCUCUCGUGGAUGGUAA